This 254-nucleotide ribosomal RNA is filed under the name uncultured bacterium. RNAcentral's name for it is "partial 16S ribosomal RNA". It matches the Rfam family "Bacterial small subunit ribosomal RNA", at positions 524 to 776 of the family's 1533-position model. The record is from RNAcentral.
GACAGAGGAUGCAAACGUUGCUCGGAUUUACUGGGCGUAAAGCGCGCGCAGGCGGUCCCGUAAGUCGGACGUGAAAGCCCAGGGCUCAACUCUGGAAGUGUGUCUGAUACUGCGAGACUGGAGUACUGGAGAGGAGAGCGGAAUUCCCGGUGUAGAGGUGAAAUUCGUAGAUAUCGGGAGGAACACCAGUGGCGAAGGCGGCUCUCUGGACAGAUACUGACGCUGAGGCACGAAAAGCGUGGGAAGCAAACAGG